RNAcentral lists this ribosomal RNA (463 nucleotides) under marine Metazoa environmental sample. Its description in RNAcentral is "SSU rRNA". It matches the Rfam family "Eukaryotic small subunit ribosomal RNA", at positions 587 to 972 of the family's 1831-position model. The record is from RNAcentral. Lineage: Eukaryota; Metazoa.
AGCUCCAAUAGCGUAUAUUAAAGUUGUUGCGGUUAAAAAGCUCGUAGUUGGAUUCCUGUCUUCGGCCGGGCGGUGCCGCCCGAUCAAAGGGCGUCGCACUGCUUUGGGUCGGUGGUGUCAAAGCCGUCGACUUUUAACGGUCGGACAAUACCACCGGAGCGGUCGCGUCGGUCCGUCGGGCCUCAGGGUUCGGCGGUCGCCGGCGCGGCCCGUAAACGGCCCAGGGGCCCUUAACGUUUCCUUUGACCAAAUUAGAGUUGUCCAAGCAGGUGCAUCCCUUCGCCUGAAUAGUACAGCAUGGAAUGAUGGAAUAGGACCUCGGUCUUAUUUUGUUGGUUUUUCUAGACCCGAGGUAAUGGUUAAUAGAGACGGACGGGGGCAUUCGUACUGCGACGCUAGAGGUGAAAUUCUUGGACCGUCGCAAGACGAACGACUGCGAAAGCAUUUGCCAAGAAUGUUUUCA